CAGAGCCUGAAUCAGUAUGUGUGUUAGUGGAAGCGUCUGGAAAGGCGCGCGAUACAGGGUGACAGCCCCGUACACAAAAAUGCACAUGCUGUGAGCUCGAUGAGUAGGGCGGGACACGUGGUAUCCUGUCUGAAUAUGGGGGGACCAUCCUCCAAGGCUAAAUACUCCUGACUGACCGAUAGUGAACCAGUACCGUGAGGGAAAGGCGAAAAGAACCCCGGCGAGGGGAGUGAAAAAGAACCUGAAACCGUGUACGUACAAGCAGUGGGAGCACGCUUAGGCGUGUGACUGCGUACCUUUUGUAUAAUGGGUCAGCGACUUAUAUUCUGUAGCAAGGUUAACCGAAUAGGGGAGCCGAAGGGAAACCGAGUCUUAACUGGGCGUUAAGUUGCAGGGUAUAGACCCGAAACCCGGUGAUCUAGCCAUGGGCAGGUUGAAGGUUGGGUAACACUAACUGGAGGACCGAACCGACUAAUGUUGAAAAAUUAGCGGAUGACUUGUGGCUGGGGGUGAAAGGCCAAUCAAACCGGGAGAUAGCUGGUUCUCCCCGAAAGCUAUUUAGGUAGCGCCUCGUGAAUUCAUCUCCGGGGGUAGAGCACUGUUUCGGCAAGGGGGUCAUCCCGACUUACCAACCCGAUGCAAACUGCGAAUACCGGAGAAUGUUAUCACGGGAGACACACGGCGGGUGCUAACGUCCGUCGUGAAGAGGGAAACAACCCAGACCGCCAGCUAAGGUCCCAAAGUCAUGGUUAAGUGGGAAACGAUGUGGGAAGGCCCAGACAGCCAGGAUGUUGGCUUAGAAGCAGCCAUCAUUUAAAGAAAGCGUAAUAGCUCACUGGUCGAGUCGGCCUGCGCGGAAGAUGUAACGGGGCUAAACCAUGCACCGAAGCUGCGGCAGCGACGCUGAUGCGUUGUUGGGUAGGGGAGCGUUCUGUAAGCCUGCGAAGGUGUGCUGUGAGGCAUGCUGGAGGUAUCAGAAGUGCGAAUGCUGACAUAAGUAACGAUAAAGCGGGUGAAAAGCCCGCUCGCCGGAAGACCAAGGGUUCCUGUCCAACGUUAAUCGGGGCAGGGUGAGUCGACCCCUAAGGCGAGGCCGAAAGGCGUAGUCGAUGGGAAACAGGUUAAUAUUCCUGUACUUGGUGUUACUGCGAAGGGGGGACGGAGAAGGCUAUGUUGGCCGGGCGACGGUUGUCCCGGUUUAAGCGUGUAGGCUGGUUUUCCAGGCAAAUCCGGAAAAUCAAGGCUGAGGCGUGAUGACGAGGCACU
RNAcentral lists this ribosomal RNA (1266 nucleotides) under Escherichia coli. RNAcentral describes it as "partial 23S ribosomal RNA". It matches the Rfam family "Bacterial large subunit ribosomal RNA", at positions 296 to 1578 of the family's 2925-position model. The record is from RNAcentral. Lineage: Bacteria; Pseudomonadati; Pseudomonadota; Gammaproteobacteria; Enterobacterales; Enterobacteriaceae.